Molecule: ribosomal RNA, 547 nt
Filed under: Palythoa caribaeorum
Lineage: Eukaryota; Metazoa; Cnidaria; Anthozoa; Zoantharia; Sphenopidae
Also listed under: 1 other name
Description: partial 16S ribosomal RNA
Rfam family: Bacterial large subunit ribosomal RNA
Source: RNAcentral
GAGGGUGAUGCCUGCCCAAUGGUUGUAUCUAAAAGCGGUUGAUAAAAGUCGACCUCGUAAGGACAAUUGAAUGGCCGCGGUAACACUGACCGUGAUAAUGUAGCGUAAUCAAUAGCCAAUUAAUUGUUGGCCAGUAUGAAUGGCGCCACGAAGGCCCCACUGUCUUAAGGAAAUUCCCAGUGAAAUUGAAUUCGUAGUGAAGAUGCUACGUCCAAUUUGUUAGACGAAAAGACCCCGUUGAGCUUUACUGGGGCACUUACACGGCCCCGGCCUUCCCGUGUCCGGGAACCGGCCGAAUUUAAAUGGGUGGUUUAGACUAUGUGGCAGCCCCCCGCCGGGGCAGAUGAAACCCCACUCCCCCAUGUCAAAGGGGCUAACCCCCCCUUGGGGGGGAGAGUGUAAGUAGGACAGUUUGGUUGGGGCGACCGCCUUUUAAAGAGUAACGAAGGUGCGCUUAAGGUGCGCAAUUAAUGACUGAAGCCUGACUGCGAGGGGGACACCCCGAGCAGACACCCCUAAGCCCGCCCGAAGGGCGGCGGUGGGGUGG